AAAAUGCGAUAACUAAUGUGAAUUGCAGAAUUAAAACGUGAAUCAUCGAGUCUCUGAACGCAAAUUGCGCUCCGCGGUCAUUCCGCGGAGCAUACCUGUUUGAGCCUCAUUUUCUUUCUAUCUUUCGCAAGAGAGAUGAAGUGCACUCCCUUCUCCCACAAGGAGAUAGUGUUAAAGGCAGUCUUUCUAAUUCUUUUUUUUCUGGGGAAAAAAAGAGCAGUGUGCCAAUACCACCUGCGCUUUUUUCUAAGAUCAAAAUAUUCUUUGAGCUCAAAUCAGGCAGGACUACCCGCUGAACUUAA
RNAcentral lists this unclassified non-coding RNA (302 nucleotides) under uncultured Graphium. Its description in RNAcentral is "sequence contains ITS1". The stretch from base 1 to 109 matches the Rfam family "5.8S ribosomal RNA", at positions 50 to 154 of the family's 154-position model. The record is from RNAcentral. Lineage: Eukaryota; Fungi; Ascomycota; Sordariomycetes; Microascales; Graphiaceae.